Molecule: small RNA, 111 nt
Filed under: Capnocytophaga leadbetteri
Lineage: Bacteria; Pseudomonadati; Bacteroidota; Flavobacteriia; Flavobacteriales; Flavobacteriaceae
Description: 6S-Flavo RNA
Source: RNAcentral
ACUCAACAUUAACAUUAAAAAAAAGGGUGAGUUGGAGUGGCUAAAGCGUGCCGCCAUUGCGUUGCGGAUACUUGCCCCACCCAGUAUCCCUAAACCUGUUUCUCAGAGUUU